This 233-nucleotide long non-coding RNA is filed under the name Nicotiana benthamiana. RNAcentral's name for it is "long non-coding RNA (NBEN_LNC027316)". Lineage: Eukaryota; Viridiplantae; Streptophyta; Magnoliopsida; Solanales; Solanaceae. The record is from RNAcentral.
GAUUCAGCCUAUCCUAUGCCUUAAUUUAAUUCAAACCAAACCAGUAUUUGAAGUCAUACUAUAUCUACUCUUUUAAGUGAGGAGGCAUGUAUGAGCCUUAACUACUAUUUGUUCCCCUGUUAACUACUAUUUGUUUUUUUGCUUCUCGCCUAGAUUUUAAUCCCUUUGAACUCUGAAAAGGCCCCAACUUCCCACCUUUAGGAAUAAUAGUAUGGAUGCCUGCGGGACUGAUA